UUGGAUCAUUAAUCCAACGUUGGACUUAUAUGUGAAAUAUUAUGUGUUGCAAGACUGUCACGUAAGGUUAAGCCCGAUAAAGUGAUCGACUAAAGUUUAUCUAGAUUGGGCUUUAAUGUGUCUAAUAAGGUGUGGGCCUUUAAUGUGUAGAGACAUUUAGGGUAAUUUUAUUAUAGUGAUGGGCAUAGUAGUUAAACUCGCGAGAUACCGCGAUAUAUAUCGCGAGACGAUACGGUUCUAAUCAAAACGAUACAACUCAUAAUAUGUAUCGGUUAUGCAUAAAUACCAUUAAAUAUCGUGAGAUAUCGUAUGGUAUCGUCAUAUCACGAUACGAUACAAUAGGGGUGGUUUCGGUACGGUUGCCGAAUAUUUUGAUCAAUACCGUGUACCUACCGAAUUAUAUGGUAUUGAAAAAUUCGAUACCGUUACCGUACCAACAAGUGCGGUAUACCGUUAUUCGGUAUACCGUUACUUUCGGUACGGUAUAUCGGUACAUGGUAACUCUACCGUUAAUUUUAAUUUGUCACUUUGAAGACGAUCUUUAUAAAAACACAACACUUUAAAAAAGAAGAUUGGCUAUUUAUAUGAUCAUAUUCAAUUUUUUAAAGCUCCUUGAAUAUUUGUCAAACUUCAACUUCAAUGAUUUAGCCACACCUUGCAAAAUAAGAUUACUAGAGUCAUGAUUUUUUUUUCAAUCUCAAUUUGCAGCUGUACUAUUUCAGUGAAAACCAAAUGGGAUGUACGUUUUUUUUUGUUGCACUAAACUUCAAUGUUGUCUCAUAAAUUUUUAAGAACUGUAAUUCAAUUUUUAAGUUUUGAUCUAUUUAUUUUAUGUAGUAAUUUUAAUUUUAGUUAAUUACUAACCAAUAUAAAAUAAAUAUAUAUUAAUUAAAUUGUAAAUUUCAAAUUUGCGGUACGGUACAGUAUUACCAUGGUACUGAAAAUACAAUACCGCUACCGUACCGUAGGAUUGUGGUACGGUACCAAUACCGUACCAAAUGUAGUGGUUACCGAAGUUUCGGUAAAUUUUCGGUAUUGUUUGGUAGGUAUACCGUGGUAUUCGGUAGGCGGUAAUUAUUUUCCAGCCCUACGAUACAAUAUUAGUCAAAAUAUUAAAAAAAAAAUUAAAAAAUUAAAAAAUUAAAAAAAUUAAAAAAGUUAAAGAAAAAAAGAAGAAAACGAAAUAUUCACAUUAUCAGGGCUUGCAAACGAAUUUCAAUAUUAUUAAAUAUUUUUUUUUAACAUAUAUUAGAUUCAAGAAAUUUACACGCCAAGUUUUAUAUUGAUAAGAGAAAAUAGGAAAAGGCGAAAGUUGGAGUUGAUGAAAUUGAAGAGAUUGAUGAACAUGAGGAUGAAGACACUUGUUUGAAAUUGGUGGAUGAAAAAAAAUUAAAUUACAUUGAUCUUGAAGAUUAUGAGUGAUAAUUAGUUUUUUACAAAUUAGAGAUCAAAAUUUGAACUUUGUUGAUGUUAUUUUUACGAGCAGUUAUGACUUCUGUCCUAUUUUAUGAUAAAUUAUUUUUUUUAAAAUAGGAAUAAGUGGUUUGACUUUAAAAUAUUAAAUUUUACAUUUUUAUAGUAUUUUAUUAUAUAUAUAUAUAUAUAUAUAUAUAUAUAUAUAUAUAUAUAUAUUUUUAAUAGUUGGUUAAAUAUCGUACGAUACGAUAAGAUAUCGAUACGAUACGAUACACGCAGGAAAACGAUACGCCGAUAUUUUCCGAUUCGAUAACCAUGGUGAUGUGCUAAAAUAAAAUUACACAAGAUAGCCCAUUAGGUUAUCUAUAUAUAUUGCUCAUGGUCCCCGGAACUAAUUCCAUUCUCUAUGUAUUCCAUCGACAUAAAGAUAGAAGUCUAAAGGGUUCUCGGGUUCGGAUGUACAUGAUGAUCUGGAAGAUCUAUGAUCGUUUUAUAUCAAUUCCACCGGAGUAAGGUACGCUUCCAAUUUAUCAAUUCCACCGGAGUAAGGUACGCUUCCAAUUUAUGUUUAUGUACAAUAUUCUUGAUGAUUCGGCAUGACGGUUCUAUGGGAUUUAUUCAAGUUUAUUCCAACAAGUGGUAUCAGAGCCACCAUGUCUUGAAUUAUCGGGGAUAUUAUGUUCGUUAAAUUUCCCUAUUUCGAAGUUAUGCGAAAUAUGAUUUUGUGGAUUCAAUUCUGAAAAAUUAUGGUCCGAUUAUGAACUUGGAAUUGUACUGUUAUGUUAUGUGACAAUUUCUUAAUUUAUUAAAAUUCAUCCGGCCUGUUGUUUGUUAAUUGUUUAAUUAAUUUAAGAAUUGUGUUAUUUAAUUGCUGAAUUCCAAAUCGGGAGAUUGGUUUGUUUAUGUAAAUCUGAAUCUCGAUUUAAUUACGAUUCUAUAGGAAUCUUUUAACAGUUGUAUGAUUAAGUUCACCUUUUGGGUUGAUUAAUUUCAAAUUUGGGUUAAAUUAUUCGGUUAUUAAUCCAUUGGGCUGAUUUGGUUUUCCGGCCGAGCCAUCCUUCGACACCACCGCUGCAAUGAUUCUCACACCACCAUCUUCUUUCCGUUUCCGGCGGCCAAUAUAGCGAACGCAAGUGAUUGUCCUUCGCAAUUCUUGGCGGUGGGGAUUCGCUAAUAAGGGAUUUUUAGUGGCCAACGGAGAGAGACUGUGAGUUGUGUGUUUUCGGCGGUGGUGUUGCUUAGGUUGCAGUCAUGGUGGUGGCGGCGGGUCUGAAAGAAAAUUAGGUUUAUGAAGUUUCGGAAAAUUACAAUUUAACCCCAGAUUUAAGGUUUCUGUAAUUCCCAAUUUGGUCCCUUAAUUUAAGUUUGAGAUAUUUAGCAAUAUUUCAAUUCAGCCCAUAUUUCGGUUAUUCCUGAUUUUGAGCCUGGGUCGAUUUUAAAUAAUGUAAAAUCUGUAUUACAGCCCUCAAAGCUUUCGAAAAGUGCACUUCAGUCCCCAGCUUUAAAGUUUCUCUCAAAACUGUGAUAAAUAUUCAGAAAAUAUAUUUUUUUAACCGCCAAAUUAAGUAUUUCUGAAUCUUAGAUCCCUUUUCACUCAAAGGCUUUUCUUUCAAAAUUACAAUUCAGUCCUUUAAGUUGAAAGAUUUUCUUGUUUUGGGGCAAGGGCAAUUUUUUAAGGAAUAAAAAGUUAAUUUAAAGUUUUUUUUUUUGGGCCACUUGAAAUUCAUGUUUUAUGAAGAAUCAAACGAAUAAGUGAAUUAUUUUUAAUUCUCUUUAAGAACUUGUUUGGUCAAUAAAGUGAGAUUCAGUUUGAAUUUCAAUUUUAAUUUCCUGAGGCAUUUUAUUUUGGGGAAUUUCAGAUUUCUAAAGUUCGGGUCUUCUUGGAUUGAAAUUUGGAUUAAUUAGUCAAAUUAUGGAUAUGAAUUAUUAUAAUUCAAUAGGUUUUGACUCAUUAAAGUAAUGGUUGUUUGUCAAUAUAUGUAUGAGUUAUCAUGUAUAACUCAAUAAGCUUUGACCCAAUCGAUAUUUGGCACGUAGACUCGUGACUUUAUUAUAAAUUUGAGUCUUCAUUGUUUUGUGAAAAUUCAUAAGAAUUUGGAUUUAUUUGUCCGAAAUUUAUUGUUGGCUUUAAAUCUUAUAAGGUUGAAUUUGUGAGCUCAUUUUUUGUACUUUAAGCUCAAAUUCAAAUAAAUAUGAAUUUUAUGAUUUAUGGUUUAGGCUCAUCUUUGGGUUAUAAAGUGAAGAUUUCUAGUCGACUUUAUUUUGACUUUAAAUCUAAAUAACGUGGGAUUUGGGUUCAUAAGGUAAUUUAAUUAGGCCUAUGACUAAAGAUUUUUUGAGAAAGUCUAUUGGCUUAAAUUCAGUUAAAAUUCAAAUAUUGGUUUGAUUUAUGUAUUUUGAUAUGAAUUAAGAGAAGCAGCAUCUCGCCUAAGUGAGCUCUCCUGUGAAACUUAAUUUAUUUUAAAAUACAAAAGGUUUUGUGCAUGUAAUAAUGUGGGUAUUGUGUCGGCCCUAAGGAAGGCCAAUACUUUGCUGAAUUGCAUGUGCAUAUUGUGGUGGUAAACGCGUGGCGAUUAUUUGGUGUUUUGCAUGUGAAUAAUAGUUUGGCCCUAAGGUAGAAUUAUUAUUUGAUGUGCUCUUACUGUCAGUGUUUGAUUACUACACCAAGAUAUCACUUACAAGUUAAUAUCAUUGUCCAAAGAUAAGUUAUUAAUGGAGUGCCCGAUAUCUUGAGAUGGAAUAUACCUUUAUUUGAAUUUGUGGUUGAUAUAUAAUAAAUAUGUGACGGUUAUUAGAAUUUCAUGUGAACUGUAAAUUGGCCCUAAGGUAGAUUUAUUGUUUGACACGAUAGUUUACCGUCAAUAUUUAUUUAUAAAAAGUUCCCGCUUAAAAGUUAACGAGUCGUCCAUAACGUCAAAUUAACAUUGGGCUAGGUAUUUUAUGAUAAAUGAACCCAAUUCCGUUUAAUUAUGUCAUACAUACAUAGAUUCUAUUUGAUAUUUUUAUGACAUAAUAGUAGUUGUGAGCAUGUCUUCUUGUUUAUGUUCUCUAUUUAGUUCAUGCUUCCGCUUCUGCAUUAUCUGUCAAUGUUAAUUUUGGUUCUUGUGCUUUAUAGCACAAUUUACUUAUUAUUUACGGUGCAUAGAUCUUGAUUUUAUCUUUUAAAUAGAACGACCAACUAGUUUUUUUCGGAAUUAAAAGUUUCCUUAAGGUUAAAAUAAAAGGGACUUAAAGAAUAUGAUCGUUCUAAUUAUAAGUAUUAAGAUCAUUUGGUGCAUCAUUUAAGAAAUCUUUAGGGGCAUCAAGAUUGAUAGGGCAAGUACUAGAAUGUUUCUCAAGGCACUUUUGAUACGUUUUAUUAUUAAAAUGACAAGCUUGAAUCAAGUAUAGUUGUGACUAAUCUUGAUUUAUAAUUAAUAAGAGAGAAGAAACAUAAAGGAGUACAUUAAGUAUUAGUCUAAUCUCAUUUUCGGCUUAAGCACUAAAGUUACGGUUAUUUAUUAACUUUAAAGUGCAUAUGGUUUGAUUUUUCUUUCUACAUCUAUAGUCAACAUAAAGUUUGUUCCAAAACCUAAAGGAUAAAUGAAUUCUUUGUCAGCCCAUGUUUGACUAUGUGUAGGAAUAAAAUGACAUAAACGAGAAAAGACUAAAAGUACGCAGUUAACUACUAUCCCAUAGAAUGACACAUUGUUGCAGUAGAGACAUCAUAAUAGAUUUUCUAAAAGUAACAAAAUCAUGUCCGCUUUAUCUGUUAUUUAAAGAUAUGAGUCUCCAAAGUAUGUCAAAUGACAAGUAAGGUUUUGCUUCUAAUCUUAAGAGAAGCACUAAAGACUGCAACAUAUGACUUUAAAGACGGGAUGUAUAAGAUCUCUUAAGGAUAUUUAGUUUAAGGGGGGAAGGGUUAUACUCAUUGUUGUAUGAAAGAGAGAAUUUAUUUUUCUCAUUUUGUUGCUAUAGACAAUAAUAAAAAUACUGUCUUCUCCCACAUGAAGGAAAUUGCUCCUUAAAGAUAAACUCAACAACCUUAAGAGAAUACAAUAUUAAAUUGAGUUAAACUGAAGAUGAUAAUGACAUUUGGGAUCUUAUCAACUGUCAAAAGUGUGUAAUCAUUUGGUCACAAAUGUAUAUUUGAGACCGUUUGAAUUUCAAUAGGCUAUGUUGAAAAAGUUAUAACUAAAGUCUAAUCACCUAGAGUUUCACUCAAUACGAACUCUGUUUUAGAGUUUUAGGAUCCCCUAAACGGUGUUACAACUCAUAAUGAUUAUCUCAUAUUUGUGAGGUAAAUAAAGUUAAUGUUUGUAUAUACCAUGUGAUACGCACUCAAUGCCCAAUAAAGAUCUUACGGUAAAAGAAGAAUGCAAAAGGUUCCCUUGCUGUCAGCUUUGGGAAAUUAUACGCACACUUCGGUAUGUACGCAUUCGGCUAAAUCGUACAUAAAGUUACGCAGAUAUAUAAAUAAUCCUUUGAAGUGGAUCUUUGAAUAGAAACAAAAGGAUUAUACAGUAAUUAUAGAGAACAUAAGGUCAUUUAUGCUCAUUUAUCGAAAUCAGUUCAUUUGGGAGAUCAUUUGGUUUUUUGAUUUCGAGUUUGUAUGAUGCUUGUACAUUAUAGAUCCAUUUAAUGUAUACCUAAUUAAAAGAGAAUUUAAGUACGAGUGUUUAGCCAACACCCAAAACUCUUUUAACUACAGUAAUCAGUUUAUAAAAGCAUCUUAUUUUGUAAUAUACAGAGUGGAUAGGUGUCUAUAAAAUACGUCGAUAUAAACUCCAUUAUGUGUACACACUAAGGAUGUCACCCAAAAGGUCUCAUGUGCAUAUUGCUCGUAUGGGUGUCAUAUUAUUUAAGGAUAUUCGGUUUUAGUGGGAGUUUAUAAUAAAUGUGUUAUUUUGGCGUAGACACAAUUUUUGGGUUAUUUCGGAUUAAGGAUACUCUUAAGAUAAUUUUUGCAGAAAUAAGGUUUUGGUUUAUUCACACUCUGAUUUGUUAAGGUUUGAUCUCAUUAAGGAGGACCAUUUGGAAAUAGGUAUGUUAAGGUCACAUUGCAUGACAUUUCCAUGUUACACAUCCAUAUCAUAAUCUAUGUCAUUCGAUUGUGUUGAUACUGUGACCAUUGUUGGGUCCCGUUACGACUAAUGUGAACGAAGGCCCCUUUGAUUCAGUGUUAGCAUGAUUGAUGGACGAGAUUGGUUAUAGACACACUUCAGUAAUGACAGCAAAGUUGAGCUCAAAAAUUUAUUUAUGCAACCUAUAAUUAUAAAGUUACACAUAUAGUCCAAGUGGGAGAUUGUUGGAUCAUUAAUCCAACGUUGGACUUAUAUGUGAAAUAUUAUGUGUUGCAAGACUGUCACGUAAGGUUAAGCCCGUUAAAGUGAUCGACUAAGGUUUAUCUAGAUUGGGGUUUAAUGUGUCUAAUAGGGUGUGGGCCUUUAAUGUGUAGAGACAUUUAGGGUAAUUUUAUUAUAGUGAUGGGCUAAAAUAAAAUUACACAAGAUAGCCC
This 6913-nucleotide long non-coding RNA is filed under the name Erythranthe guttata (spotted monkey flower). RNAcentral describes it as "long non-coding RNA (EGUT_LNC001136)". The record is from RNAcentral. Lineage: Eukaryota; Viridiplantae; Streptophyta; Magnoliopsida; Lamiales; Phrymaceae.